Molecule: non-coding RNA, 93 nt
Filed under: Planomonospora parontospora subsp. sphaerica
Lineage: Bacteria; Bacillati; Actinomycetota; Actinomycetes; Streptosporangiales; Streptosporangiaceae
Description: Planomonospora sphaerica Glycine sequence
Rfam family: Glycine riboswitch aptamer
About the family: This family represents the bacterial glycine riboswitch. Glycine riboswitches usually consist of two metabolite-binding aptamers domains with similar structures in tandem. The aptamers cooperatively bind glycine to regulate the expression of downstream genes.
Source: Rfam by way of RNAcentral
CGACCCUGUGCGGGAGAGACCCCGACCAUGGUCGGGGCGCCGAAGGAGCAACCUCCCCGGAAUCUCUCAGGCACCCUGUACCGCACGGACGAG